UACAGAGGUCUCAAGCGUUGUUCGGAUUUACUGGGCGUAAAGAGCGCGCAGGCGGUCGGAUAAGUCGAAUGUGAAAGCCCCCGGCUCAACUGGGGAGGGUCAUUCGAUACUGUUCGACUCGAAGGCAGGAGAGGGAAGUGGAAUUCCCGGUGUAGUGGUGAAAUGCGUAGAUAUCGGGAGGAACACCAGUGGCGAAGGCGACUUCCUGGCCUGUUCUUGACGCUGAGGCGCGAAAGCUAGGGGAGCAAACGGG
This 253-nucleotide ribosomal RNA is filed under the name uncultured bacterium. RNAcentral describes it as "partial 16S ribosomal RNA". It matches the Rfam family "Bacterial small subunit ribosomal RNA", at positions 524 to 776 of the family's 1533-position model. The record is from RNAcentral.